RNAcentral lists this long non-coding RNA (3511 nucleotides) under Homo sapiens (human). Its description in RNAcentral is "HSALNT0295054". The record is from RNAcentral. Lineage: Eukaryota; Metazoa; Chordata; Mammalia; Primates; Hominidae.
AUUCCUUGCUUGGCCAAACUUUAGUCAGAUGUCUAUCUUCCUUGCAAAAUCCAACUUUUUUUUUUUUAUGUGGUACAAUGUGAUGUUUUGUUCUUUUUUUUAAAUUUAUUAUUAUUAUACUUUAAGUUUUAGGGUACAUGUGCACAUUGUGCAGGUUAGUUACAUAUGCAUACAUGUGCCAUGCUGGUGCGCUGCACCCACUAACUCGUCAUCUAGCAUUAGGUAUAUCUCCCAGUGAUAUCCCUCCCCCCUCCCCCCAACCCACAACAGUCCCCAGAGUGUGAUGUUCCCCUUCCUGUGUCCAUGUGUUCUCAUUGUUCAAUUCCCACCUAUAAGUGAGAAUAUGCGGUGUUUGGUUUUUUUGUUCUUGCGAUAGUUUACUGAGAAUGAUGAUUUCCAAUUUCAUCUAUGUCUCUACAAAGGACAUGAACUCAUCAUUUUUUAUGGCUGCAUAGUAUUCCAUGGUGUAUAUGUGCCGCAUUUUCUUAAUCCAGUCUAUCAUUGUUGGACAUUUGGGUUGGUUCCAAGUCUUUGCUAUUGUGAAUAGUGCCGCAAUAAACAUACGUGUGCAUGUGUCUUUAUAGCAGCAUGAUUUAUAGUCCUUUGGGUAAAUACCCAGUAAUGGGAUGGCUGGGUCAAAUGGUAUUUCUAAUUCUAGAUAGAAUGUUUCCUCUUAUAACUCAUAGUGAAUAUGACUGGACAAUGAAACUAUUUUGUAAUUUCUUUCCUGAAAGAUAAAGGCGUUAGAACAUAGAAUCUUUCAUUGAUUCUACAGAAUCUUAAGACUCCUUCAGAGAUGGCAGUCAUUCGUACCGUGCUGAACAUCAUGUUGUCACGGUCAGAAUCAGAACUAAAUUGAUUAAGGUUCUGAAACAGUUUGGCACUCUUGGGCACUUAUUCUGAUAAGAAAGCUGAUGAGACAGGGUAAUGAAAAGAGGCUGCAAGAAAUGACCAUUCAUGCAUUCAGCCAACAUUUAGGCCACCCUCCUGUAUUCCAGGCACUGUACGUGGCACUGAGAAUGCAAAGCAAAACGAGUCAUGGUCUACUGGCGGGAGCCUUCUCAGCGGAGAAAAGAUCAACAAGAAAAGUGCCUGCUGGAGACCUCUCCUAGGGCAUAAACCAAUAUAGAGGUGGGGCAGCUACGUCAGCCUGAGGUGUCCUUAGGCAGAACAGAAAGUGAGAAUCAGAGCAGUAUCUCAUUUCUGAACACCUGGAUUGUAGCUUUCCCUGGACUGACUGUCAAAGGAGGUGGUUUUAAAAAGCAAGCCAAACAGGUUUCCGUCCUUUAGGAAGACCCUGGAACGUGCCAGUUGAUUCUGACAAUUUCUCAUGAACAGAAACACCUAGGAAGGGAGAACUGGUGAGUCUUUUCAAGAAGAGGAAGUCCCUCAAAAGGGGCUGUGUUUCGCAAACGGCACCCCAAAAGGGCUGAAAUACUUCGAUCUGGAGGAAAAAGACUCAGGCACUGAGGGAAGGGGAGGGUGCACAUCUGGGGUAAUUUCAAGGCUUUUUCCGUGUUAUCUGAGGUGGCAACAAGUAAAGAUUUGUUCGUUUUAUUAUUUUUUUAAUUUUUAAAGGUGUUCUUUUCCCCCCUUUUCCCCCUCCCGGCCACUCCGGUUUGUGUUUGCCACAAGACUCAUAAUUCCUUUAGAAAGUGGAGUCGAAUUCAUAAAAGUGAUGGGGGGAGAGCGCGGAGAGGGAAGGCUGGGAGCCCCAGGGAGUCUUCACUACCUACACUGCCGCUCAGCUCCCGGCGCGAGUGGAGGUCGGUGUGGGGAGACGCGACUCCUGCCCGGGAUGGCUGACACUCUGCGAGCCCCGGCGGCCCGCGGCCGGGCCGGGUGACUAGGCGGAGGGCGCGGAGGGUCCGCGGCGGGCGGGUGGCGCUGCAGCAGCCUGGGCACGGCUGCCGCCGCCCGCGGGCGAGAGUGUGCACGGGUGUGGAAGGCCGGAGUGCGGGCCGUGAGGGGUGUGCGCGCUUGAGCCGGAGCGGGGCUCGCCCCUCGUCGGCUCCCGCCGCCCAGCCGGUGAUCGCUCUCCGGCCGUCCCCGGCACCCUCGGCCCCCCACGGCGGUUGGUCCGGGCGGGGGAAGGAGAAAGUGAGACUCGGUGUCAUCACCAAUCCAUCGCCAGAAGGGGAGGUAAUUGGAAUCCAGCAGCGGCGAGCAGCAGCUGGGCAGUCACAUCUGGAAAUGGAAAGCCGACCUCCACCUCCUCCUCCUCCUUCUCCUCCUCUCACCCAGGAUCACUUCCGAAACCAGUUGGCCUUCAGCCCCUGCCUCGGCCAGAGGUUUCAUUUUUAACUGAAUAUUUACGAAAGCUGAAAGCGUGCGAGGGGGGUGGGGUGGAAAUAGCGGCUGCUUCUUUUCCAAGGACUUAUUUAAUGGGGAUGUGUUCAAGGCAAGACCGAAUUCAGAAGGAUAUCGACGUCGUGAUCCAGAAGUCCAGAGCUGAGGACUGCCUGUUUGCAGGUGAGUUCUUGCUUUUCCAGAACCUCGGACCCCGCGCCCCCUUCCCAGUUCUCUGACCGCGACGUGUGUGGCUGGGGGUGGGGUGGAGGGUUUGCACGUCCGCAUUCCGGGGUUCAUUUGGCAACAGCUGCUGCAACGAACACGGGAGCCAAAAGCCAGAGGGGGUGCCAGCCUCGCCCCUUCCCCUCCCCCCACCCCCAAGUCUGGGGCAGCUACCAGCUUUGAGGGCAGAACCCGCGUGGCCCGAGCGGGGGUCUAGGCGAAGGGGCAGUGCGUGGUAUUUCCAGCCCCGCGUAGUGCCCGAAGCCUGCAAGCACGCCUCCUGGGUUCCAGCAGCGGCGGCAGAGCGGGGUUGGUUGGACCCGCCAGGUUUGCGUAAUGGGCUGAGCGGCGGCGGCCGGGAAUGGAGCUUGCUGCGCUGCGCUCAUUUCAGAUACUCAGACUCCACCUUUACUUUUACCUAUGUUGGCGGCCCCAGAAGGAGUGAAGGCAAUUUUGAAGGCAUGACUACGACCUGCUCUGGCCACAAGAGCUAAGAGUUGCCAGGUGUGGUGGCUCAAACACUUUGAGAUGCCAAUCCCAACACUUUGAGAGGCCAAGGCAGGAGGAUUGCUUGAGGCUAGGAGCUUGAAACCAGCCUGGGCAACACAGUGAGACCCCAUCUCUACAAAAAAUAAAAAAACAGGCCAGGCGCAGUGGCACUUAGGGAGGCCAAGGUGGGUGGAUCACCUGAGGUCAGGAGUUCGAGACCAGCCUGACCAACAUGGAGAAACCCCGUCUCUACAAAAAAUACAAAGUUUGCCAGUGUGGUGGCACAUGCCUGUUAUCCCAGCUACUCAGGAGGCUGAGGCAGGAGAAUCGCUUGAACCCGAAAGGCAGAGGUUGCAGUGAGUGGAGAUCACGCCAUUGCACUCCAGCCUGCGCAACAAGAGUGAAACUCCAUCUCAAAUAAAUAAAUAAAAUAAAGUUUUAAAAAGUCAAAAUUAUCCAGGCGUGAUGGUAUGUUCUUGUAGUCCCAGCUACUCAGGAAGCUGAGGUG